Elephantulus edwardii (Cape elephant shrew) is the source of this 1714-nucleotide RNA transcript. It is a transcript of the gene named AT rich interactive domain 1A (SWI-like) pseudogene, with no coding region annotated. The transcript has a single exon. NCBI's taxonomy places the organism in Eukaryota, Metazoa, Chordata, Mammalia, Macroscelidea, Macroscelididae. The record is from RefSeq and is a predicted model, not a curated record.
AACCAGUAUGGCAAUGCCUAUCCUGCCACUGCCACUGCUGCUACUGAGCGCCGACCAGCAGGCGGCCCCCAGAACCAAUUUCCAUUCCAAUUUGGCCGAGACCGUGUCUCUGCACCCCCUGGCUCAAAUGCCCAGCAGAAUAUGCCACCACAAAUGAUGGGUGGCCCUAUACAGACGUCAGCUGAGGUUUCUCAACAAGGUACCAUGUGGCAGGGGCGUAAUGACAUGUCCUACAAUUAUGCCAAUAGGCAGAGCACAGGCUCUGCCCCCCAGGGCCCUGCCUAUCAUGGUGUGAACCGAACAGAUGAAAUGCUGCACACAGAUCAGAGAGCCAAUCAUGAAGGUCCAUGGCCUUCCCAUGGCACACGCCAGCCCCCAUAUGGUCCCUCUGCCCCUGUACCUCCUAUGACAAGACCCCCUCCAUCUAACUACCAGCCCGCACCAAGCAUGCAGAAUCACAUUCCUCAGGUAUCCAGCCCCGCUCCCCCGCCCCGGCCAAUGGAGAAUCGCACCUCUCCUAGUAAAUCUCCAUUCCUGCACUCUGGGAUGAAAAUGCAAAAGGCAGGCCCACCAGUGCCAGCCUCACAUAUAGCACCUGCCCCUGUACAACCACCCAUGAUUCGACGAGACAUUACCUUCCCACCUGGCUCUGUUGAAGCCACACAGCCUGUGUUGAAGCAGAGAAGGCGGCUCACAAUGAAAGAUAUUGGAACCCCAGGAGGCAUGGCGUGUAAUGAUGUCACUCAAGUCUGGGCUGCUGGCAGAGAGCACAUGGGCAUUAGACACCAUUAACAUCCUGCUAUAUGAUGAUAACAGCAUCAUGACCUUCAACCUCAGUCAGCUCCCAGGGUUGCUGGAACUCCUUGUGGAAUAUUUUCGACGUUGUCUGAUUGAGAUCUUUGGAAUUUUAAAGGAGUAUGAAGUGGGUGAUCCAGGACAGAGAACAUUAUUAGACCCUGGGAGAUUGCGCAAAACCUCUAGUCCAACCCCUGUGGAAGGGGAGGAAGAAGAUGAUUUCCUAAGUUCUAAAUUGGAAGAGGAAGAAGAGGAGGAAGCAGUUGAAAAUGAUGAAGAGAUGGCCUUUUCAGGCAAGGACAGGCCAGCCUCAGAGAAUAGUGAGGAGAAGCUGAUCAGUAAGUUUGACAAAUUACCAGUGAAGAUCCUGCAAAAGAAUGACCCAUUUGUGGUGGACUGUUCAGAUAAGCUUGGGCGAGUGCAGGAGUUUGACAGUGGCCUGCUGCACUGGCGGAUUGGUGGGGGAGAUACCACUGAGCAUAUCCAGACCCACUUUGAGAGCAAGUCAGAGUUGCUGCAUACCCGACCUCAUGUACCCUGCCCACCAGCCCCCCGGAAGCAUGUCACAGCAACAGAGAAUAUGCUAGGGACAACAGAGCAGGAAGGUCCCCCACCUGAUGGCCCUCCAGAAAAACGUAUCACAGCCACCAUGGAUGACAUGUUGUCCACCCGGUCUAGUACAUUGACCGAAGAGGGAGCUAAGAGUACAGAGGCCACCAAGGAGAGCAGCAAGUUUCCAUUUGGCAUCAGCCCAGCACAGAGCCAUCGGAACAUCAAGAUUCUAGAGGAUGAGCCUCACAGUAAAGAUGAGACCCCACUGUGUACCCUUCUGGACUGGCAGGAUUCCCUUGCCAAGCGCUGCGUCUGUGUUUCCAACACCAUCCGUAGCCUGUCAUUUGUUCCAGGCAACGAUUUUGAG